GGGGAUUUAGCUCAGUGGUAGAGCGUUUGCCUAGCAAGCGCAAGGCCCUGGGUUCGGUCCUCAGCUCCG
Non-coding RNA from Rattus norvegicus (Norway rat), 69 nucleotides. NCBI's taxonomy places the organism in Eukaryota, Metazoa, Chordata, Mammalia, Rodentia, Muridae. The record is from Rfam.